Molecule: unclassified non-coding RNA, 300 nt
Organism: Callithrix jacchus (white-tufted-ear marmoset)
Lineage: Eukaryota; Metazoa; Chordata; Mammalia; Primates; Cebidae
Rfam family: Metazoan signal recognition particle RNA
About the family: The signal recognition particle (SRP) is a universally conserved ribonucleoprotein. It is involved in the co-translational targeting of proteins to membranes.
Source: Ensembl
GCCGGGCGCAGUGGCGCAUGCCUGUAGUCCCAGCUACUCAGGAUGCUGAGGUGGGAGGAUCCCUUGAGUCCAGGAGUUCUGGGCUGCAGUGUGCUAUGCCGAUCGCAUGUCUGCACUAAGUUUGGCAUCAAUAUGGUGACCUCUCAGGAGCAGGGAACCACCAGAUUGCCUAAGGAGGGGUGAACCAGUCCAGAUCAGAAAUGGACCAGGUCUGAACUCCUGUGCCGAUCAGUAGUGGGAUUAUGCCUAUGAAUAGCCACUGCACUCCAGCCUGGGCACCAUAGCAAGACCACAUCUCUU